CAGCAGUCGCCGCGGUAAUACGAAGGGUGCAAGCGUUACUCGGAAUUACUGGGCGUAAAGCGUGUGUAGGUGGUUGUUUAAGUCUGUCGUGAAAGCCCUGGGCUCAACCUGGGAAUUGCGAUGGAUACUGGGCGACUAGAGUGCGGUAGAGGAUAGUGGAAUUUCCGGUGUAGCAGUGAAAUGCGUAGAGAUCGGAAGGAACGUCUGUGGCGAAGGCGACUAUCUGGGCCAACACUGACACUGAGACACGAAAGCGUGGGGAGCAAACAGGAUUAGAUACCCCUGUAGUCCCUGUCUCUUAUAC
RNAcentral lists this ribosomal RNA (304 nucleotides) under uncultured bacterium. RNAcentral's name for it is "partial 16S ribosomal RNA". It matches the Rfam family "Bacterial small subunit ribosomal RNA", at positions 509 to 807 of the family's 1533-position model. The record is from RNAcentral.